AUGUAUGACUGCCCUGAUAGCAUUGGUGACAUGACUAGCCUCACCCAGAUUGUGAUGGAUAGUGCAACUCCUGCUUUACUUGAAAAGGUUACAGCCAUUCGAAAGCGUCUAAAUCUUGUGGGCAAGGUAGAGCAUCAUGUACAUGAGAUAGAGAGUAGAGGAUGCAGCAGUAUAGUGGAUCUUGUGGGAUUGACUUGUUCAGAACUGAUACUUGUAGACCUUCAGAAUGUCAAGCGUCCGGGAGAUGCAGAGAGAGUCAAACUGCAUGAUAAAUCAGAUACUCGAGUUCUAAAACUUCUAUGGAAAAACAAAGAAGGUAAAUCUGUGCUGGAUAGGCUUGUACCUCCUCAGUCUCUAGAAAAUCUUUUGCUAGAUGGGUAUAGGAGCAAGAGUUUCCCUAACUGGCUGUUUCGCAUCUCGUCCUGCCUCCCUUUUCUCAGCGAACUGAUUCUUUGUGAUUUGGAAGCAUGUGAUUGUCUUCCUCCAUUAGGGGCACUGCCAAAUUUAAGAAAUCUUGGUCUGUAUAACAUUCCCAACAUUAGGAAAAUUGGUAAGGAAUUCUAUGGAGAAGGUGGACCUUGUUUGAAACUAAGAGUACUGACUUUGACAUUGAUGGAGAAUUUGGUGGAGUGGUGGACAACAAAGUCAAGUGACGAAAGCCAAGAGUUUUUAAUCCCUAAUUUGCAUCAUUUGUCGGUAACUGACUGCCCAAAGUUGAAGUUCGUACCAUAUCCCCCAAGAAGUAUGGUUUGGCUUUUGGAAAAUAGCGAGACGGUUCUACCGGAACGAGGAUUUGGAAAGCUCUUAUCGCCCAUUCGUCCUUCUGAGGUGAUUAUAAAGGGGUGUAGUUUCUCUCAAGACAAGUGGGAUAGACUUCAGCACUUUCCCACCCUUGAGAAAUUUGAUUUAAACUCUGUCAGUGGCUUGAGGGCUUUGCCAGAGGUCAUGCAAUGCUUCACCUCACUUACUAGCCUAUAUUUAUUUUCGUUGAAGGGUCUGGAAACACUCCCGGAAAGGUUGGGCCACCUCGGUUCUCUAGAAAAAAUCAGCAUUUGUGAUUGCCCCAACCUGACAUAUUUUCCUGAAAGCAUGAAGAAUCUCACCGCUCUUAAAAAAUUGUUCUUAAAAGAGUGCAAAGGCUUGGAAGCAUUACCGGGAUGGUUGGGACAGUUGACUUGCCUAGAAGAAAUUCAUAUCGAGAAUAUCCCCAACCUGAAAUCUUUGCCUGAAAGCAUGAAGAACCUCACUGCUCUUAACAAACUGUACUUCAUAGAGUGCAAAGGCCUGGAAACAUUGCCGGGGUGGUUGGGACAGUUGACUUGUCUAGAAUAUAUUUUUAUCGAGGAUUUACCCAACCUGACAUCUUUGCCUGAAAGCAUGAAGAACCCCACCGCUCUUAAAAUGCUAACUUUGAUAAAGUGUUAUGCCCUCGAAACAUUACCUGAAUGUUUUGGACCGUUGACUUGCCUAGAGGAACUUAUCAUCAGCGUUUGCAACCUGACAUCUUUGCCUGAAAGCAUGAAGAACCUCACCGCCCUAAAAAGGUUGUCGUUGAGAUGGUGCAAAGGCCUGGAGAUAUUACCUGAUUGGUUGCGACAUCUGACCGCUCUAGAAGCACUUACAAUUGGCAAUUGCGGCAACUUGACAUCUGUACCUGAGAGCAUGAAGAACCUCGCCGCCCUUAAAAACUGA
RNAcentral lists this ribosomal RNA (1692 nucleotides) under Triticum aestivum (bread wheat). RNAcentral describes it as "partial small subunit ribosomal RNA". The record is from RNAcentral. Lineage: Eukaryota; Viridiplantae; Streptophyta; Magnoliopsida; Poales; Poaceae.